Molecule: unclassified non-coding RNA, 208 nt
Filed under: plant metagenome
Description: partial contains small subunit ribosomal RNA and internal transcribed spacer 1
Rfam family: Eukaryotic small subunit ribosomal RNA (bases 1-46)
Source: RNAcentral
AAGUCGUAACAAGGUUUCCGUAGGUGAACCUGCGGAAGGAUCAUUAGGUUGUAGCAGGCCGUUCCGCGCGGUACCUGAAACCCUCCUUAGCCAGCGGCCGGAGUUCGGCGCAAGGGCGAAGCCCCUCGCGGGGCGGAGUCCGCCGGAAUCUCGCAAACCAUGCCUUGAAAACUGUCGGUCUGAGAGAAUGAUGAAAUUAAGCGAAAAA